Molecule: ribosomal RNA, 541 nt
Filed under: uncultured fungus
Lineage: Eukaryota; Fungi
Description: eukaryotic LSU rRNA
Rfam family: Eukaryotic large subunit ribosomal RNA (bases 85-541)
Source: RNAcentral
GGAGCCUCCUUUGNGUAGUAACAUUUCGUCUCGCACUGGGAUCCGGAGGGACUCUUGCCGUAAAACCCCCCAAUUUUUCAAGGUUGACCUCGGAUCAGGUAGGAAUACCCGCUGAACUUAAGCAUAUCAAUAAGCGGAGGAAAGGAAACCAACAGGGAUUGCCUCAGUAACGGCGAGUGAAGCGGCAACAGCUCAAAUUUGAAAUCUGGCCCCAGGCCCGAGUUGUAAUUUGCAGAGGAUGCUUUUGGCGCGGUGCCUUCCGAGUUCCCUGGAACGGGACGCCAUAGAGGGUGAGAGCCCCGUACGGUUGGACACCAAGCCUUUGUAAAGCUCCUUCGACGAGUCGAGUAGUUUGGGAAUGCUGCUCAAAAUGGGAGGUAUAUUUCUUCUAAAGCUAAAUAUUGGCCAGAGACCGAUAGCGCACAAGUAGAGUGAUCGAAAGAUGAAAAGCACUUUGAAAAGAGGGUUAAACAGCACGUGAAAUUGUUAAAAGGGAAGCGCUUAUGACCAGACUUGCGCCCGGUGAAUCACCCAGCUCUCG